GGCUUCCGGCUUCCGGCCGAGAGAGGGUGGGAACCCGCGGCCGUCAUGGCAGCCGAAGAGAAGGACCCGUUGAGCUACUUCGCGGCUUACGGGAGCAGCAGCUCCGACUCGUCGGAUGAGAACAGCGAGCCGGAAGACGCGGGUCGCAAGGAGGCGGCCUCGGCUCCGACGACGGGCGGCCGCGGGAAGCAGGCGGAGAAGCGGCUGCCCGGCCCGGACGAGCUGUUCCGCAGCGUGACCCGCCCGGCCUUCCUCUACAACCCGCUCAACAAGCAGAUCGACUGGGAGCGGCAUGUGGUGAAAGCGCCGGAGGAGCUUCUCCCCGAGACCCCUUCCCUUUGACGCCGAAGUGCCUGCGCUGCUGCCUCCAAGACAGCGUCUCUGCUGCAGCCUCCUGAAGGGGUCAGCCUGGCCGUAGUAUCUGGGACUGCAUCCUCCUUUGCCUCCAAAGGAGUUCAAGAUCUGGAAGUCCAACUGCGUGCCGCCCCCAGAGACCUACACUACUGAGAAGAAGCCGCCGCCGCCAGAGCUGGACAUGGCGAUCAAAUGGUCGAAUAUCUAUGAAGACAAUGGAGACGAUGCCCCACAGAACGCCAAGAAAGCCAGGCUUCUGCCUGAAGGGGAGGAGACAGUGGAAUCAGAGAACUAAGAAAGCUCUCUUCUUUCCCUCUUCAAGAUGAUGACAAAGAUGAGCGGGCAUCUAAGAUUCGCAGAGUGGAGCCAGGAGAAGCAGCCAAGAAGAAGAAGUAGAGAAUUGUGACUCCUGAGAUGUGUCGUUGAGUGGAGUGUUUGCUUUUGUGCGUUACUAUGACAGACAUCUCCAUGAACGUAUUUAUGUUAACGAACUAAUGAGUGUCGCCUCAAGACUUUCCACUGUAGAAUUCACUUUUUUUAUUUAAAACCUGUACGUAUUUACAACUCUAAUGGUGACCUGUGAUUGUGAACUGACAGUACUUGGAAGCAUUCUGGUUAUCACAAAAUUGGUGACAGGCUUUGAGAGUUUGUCACAUGGACAUGCCAAUGUUCUAUGAACCUUUUAUAAAGGAAUAUAUUUUUAAAGUAAAUAUAUUGUAUUGUACUGUGAACUUGUGGGUGCUUUUCAUUAGUAUCUGUACAGUGUAAAUAGAUGAUCAUGGAAAUAAAAUUACUUAAUCCAACCUUGUUAUUACUGAAUGCCACUAACAUAAGUAUUUGUGACAGGCAGCCUGCUUGCCCUGUGACGUUUUGAUUCACAGUGGGGAUUAGCAUGUAGGGAGAGCCUCCCAUGCUCGGGUGCCUUGUGCAUACUUCUCUCCUACAGUCCUGGGAGGAAAGCAGACGUGAGCGUCCUCAGGUUUGUGGUGAGAGCUUGAGGAACUGGGCAGAGGGGUACACAGCAGUGAGUGAAGAGGAGCGGUCACGCAGGACUGACUCCAGUCAGAUGAAGCCACCUGUCACUCGUCAGACUUCAGUCGUUUGCCAAGAACAUUAUCAUCUCUGCCAUGUGCACUUGUAUUAGGGAGGUCUCCUACUCUGAUUCUGCAGCUGCACUGAUAAAUGCCUUAUAGUGUGAGUAUAAGUAUUCAUUUCUUCAUUAGGUAGACUGAAGAUGAGGCUCCUCUGUGAAAGAUGAGCAAAUUCAGAAAAGAACAUAAGGUAACCAGUUAAAUUUGAGUCUGUCUGAGUAUAUGUGAUAUAAGAGACACAUUAAAAACCAUCUGAAAUUCUAA
This is an RNA transcript of Mus musculus (house mouse), 1709 nucleotides long. It is a transcript of the gene named RIKEN cDNA 2410004B18 gene, with no coding region annotated. The record is from RefSeq and is marked validated. Lineage: Eukaryota; Metazoa; Chordata; Mammalia; Rodentia; Muridae. The transcript has 4 exons.